GAAUAAUGUACUCAGACACCGAUAUUCAGUGAAAGAGUGCACCAGAGGGCCAGGCCACUCACAGAAAGGGUUGUGGCAGCUGCGUGCCCUGACUAUCUGGCCCUGUGGGCCUUUAUUCAGCACAGAUUUAAUGACAAAGGCUUUGAGUCAACACACCUGUGGGUAAUUAAUCUGGUCGCAGUCCCCCGGAGAGAGCAGUCCUACAAAUGAUCAAAGGAGCUGGGACAGUUAUAUUCAUCAGAACAGCACGGUGUCAAGGCCCUCACCCCCAGAAAGCUUAGGAGACACUGUUUUAUGGAGGAGAGUGAGAUUGGAGGAAGCCCUGACUCCAGGUCUCCUGAUCCUUCCUACACAAAGCGAAGCUGAAAAAAAGUGCAGGACACUCCAUUUCCUCCUGGGACCAGACAGGGAAGCCAGAGCCACCAUGGAUGUCAAAUUCCGGCAAGGAAACACCAGUAUAGCAAAAUCUCCACAUCACAUUUUAAAGCUCACACAAUGGCUCAAAGAGAACCCACAUCAAAAAACCGAAUUCCUAGCUCAGGUGAGAUCACCAAAGUUGCCUGUGAGGCUUCGUGGAACCUGCAGGUAGAAAGGACAUCUUUAUUUCGAGCUGCAGCCCAGUUGCUUCUGCGUCUUGGAGCCCCUUGAAAGGACCCUCUCCCUUCAACAGUACAUAGGGAGGCCAUUUCUGGGGAGAAAUGUAGACUGUCCUUAGACUCCUGAGGUUUUUACACUUGCUUGCUGACUCUGUGGACUUUGACUUCAUCAUUAAACAUCUUAUAAUGAUGUAAUUUGCUUUGACUGUAAGUGUAGAACAGGACGCUGUUCCUGAAUCAGGAAACAAGGGACUGGUGACCUGAACUGCCACCACCCUCCCUGGUGCUCAGAUGCAAUGAAAUCGUGAGGCAACAAAUCUAUGGCUAGGUAAAGGGUCAACUCCAUUUCAGCAAAUGUUUCAGAUGUUCCUUCCUGCCUAGUAAUGUUCCAGCUUUACCCCAGCCUUAAUCUUUUAAAAUGUAUAUUUUCC
Molecule: long non-coding RNA, 1027 nt
Filed under: Homo sapiens (human)
Lineage: Eukaryota; Metazoa; Chordata; Mammalia; Primates; Hominidae
Description: non-protein coding lnc-HLA-B-2:2
Source: RNAcentral